AGAACAAGUGGUUCGAAAUUGAAAGUCGGCUUCGGCUGUCACUUAUGGAUGGACCCGCGUCGCAUUAGCUAGUUGGUGAGGUAACGGCUCACCAAGGCAACGAUGCGUAGCCGACCUGAGAGGGUGAUCGGCCACACUGGGACUGAGACACGGCCCAGACUCCUACGGGAGGCAGCAGUAGGGAAUCUUCCGCAAUGGACGACCGUCUGACGGAGCAACGCCGCGUGAGUGAUGAAGGCUUUCGGGUCGUAAAACUCUGUUGUUAGGGAAGAACAAGUGCUAGUUGAAUAAGCUGGCACCUUGACGGUACCUAACCAGAAAGCCACGGCUAACUACGUGCCAGCAGCCGCGGUAAUACGUAGGUGGCAAGCGUUAUCCGGAAUUAUUGCGCGUAAAGCGCGCGCAGGUGGUUUCUUAAGUCUGAUGUGAAAGCCCACGGCUCAACCGUGGAGGGUCAUUGGAAACUGGGAGACUUGAGUGCAGAAGAGGAAAGUGGAAUUCCAUGUGUAGCGGUGAAAUGCGUAGAGAUAUGGAGGAACACCAGUGGCGAAGGCGACUUUCUGGUCUGU
RNAcentral lists this ribosomal RNA (569 nucleotides) under uncultured Bacillus sp. Its description in RNAcentral is "bacterial SSU rRNA". It matches the Rfam family "Bacterial small subunit ribosomal RNA", at positions 183 to 737 of the family's 1533-position model. The record is from RNAcentral. Lineage: Bacteria; Bacillati; Bacillota; Bacilli; Caryophanales; Bacillaceae.